Molecule: transfer RNA, 93 nt
Filed under: Syntrophorhabdaceae bacterium
Lineage: Bacteria; Pseudomonadati; Thermodesulfobacteriota; Syntrophorhabdia; Syntrophorhabdales; Syntrophorhabdaceae
Description: tRNA-Ser
Source: RNAcentral
GGGUUGUAAGUGAUGAAGAUGAUUAACCUUUUAUUUUUUCUCAGUUCCCUCUUAAUCAAUUGGUCCAAGGUUCGAAUCCUUGACGGCCCACCA